Molecule: long non-coding RNA, 1247 nt
Organism: Strongylocentrotus purpuratus (purple sea urchin)
Lineage: Eukaryota; Metazoa; Echinodermata; Echinoidea; Camarodonta; Strongylocentrotidae
Exons: 6
Source: RefSeq, a predicted model, not a curated record
UACGUACCGACACGACUCGACUAUGUUGGCACGUCAAUUUCUGUUAUUACGCGGAAAGAGCAGCCAGUUUGUCAGUAGUUUGAGACGUUUUGAGAGCAAGCAAAACUCCCCAGCCAUGGUUGUUAUAGUGAAAGUGAUUUAUUGUGGUGGAUGAGGGUACGGCCCCAGGUAUCGGCGUUUAGAGCAAGAGCUCAAGGAUGAGUUCGGCGAUGACGUUGAUAUGGUUGGAGAAAGUACUCCCGGUGUUACCGGAUGGCUGGAGGUAGAGGUCAAUGGAAAACUUAUCCAUUCCAAGAAGAAUGGAGAUGGAUACAUUGACAGUGAAGGCAAGCUGAAGAAGAUUGUUAAUGCUGUUAGCGCAGCUAUGUGAUUCUUUAUCACAUUCAAUGACACAGCUAAACAGCUCCGCGUUGGACAUCGUGGCUAUCCUUAUCAUGACAGAAACACCCUAAAAGUAGCCCCGGCUAUUCAGGUGUUUCUCGACACCCUACAAGGAUACACCAGGCUGUCCAAGAUGGAAAGCUUUGACUGUGUAAAUUUACAUUGUGUAGUAUAGAAAUUGUGUAUCUACCAGAAUUGGUGGUGGUGUGAUGUAAUUUGUAAUGAAGGGGUGCAAUUCUGUUUAAGUUUAAGGAAGGUACAUCAAGUUUGAAUGUCAAUACACCAGUUUACGGUUGUGUGCGCCAUUUUAAACAAAGCCAAUGACCUAGAGGUCAUGUAUUUAUGCGUAAAUUAAGAUUGCGCCCUUGCAAAUUAUGAUGAUAUCACUGCCUUCGCGCUGCGUUGUGCGCGCACAUCAUCAUUUGCAUGGGCGCAAUCUUAAUUUACGCAUAAAUACCACUGACCUCGGGUCAUUGGCUUUGUUUCAAAGCCAAUGACCCGAGGUCAACUGUCUGCGCAUGCGCACUGAUACAACCGUAAACUGGUGUAUUGCACUACCAAAGAAAGGAUAAUAUGUGAGAUGAUUGUUCAUUAGCUAUAAGAGAGACAUUAUUUAUCUGACAAUAUCAUCAAAGUGGAAUAUAUUUUGAUGAUUUCUUUUUAGUAAUGUGACUUUAAUUUGUUGAUUUAAAGUACAACUGUAUUAUUCAUUGUCCAUAACAUUUACUAUGUACCCACCCUCAGGCUUGUGACAAAAAAAUCAAAUGAUCACCUGUACCUUGGGUAAAUCACUGGUAUCGGUAUACAAGUACAUGGACAGUCUUUAUGUCAACAGACUGUUGUAUUUAAAGUCAUUAAAAUUUAAA